RNAcentral lists this ribosomal RNA (1041 nucleotides) under Triticum aestivum (bread wheat). Its description in RNAcentral is "partial small subunit ribosomal RNA". The record is from RNAcentral. Lineage: Eukaryota; Viridiplantae; Streptophyta; Magnoliopsida; Poales; Poaceae.
AUGACGCUCAUCAGUUGGAACUGCCAGGGGAUUGGCCAACCCCGGACAGUUCGAGAGCUUGUGGAGCUUGUCCGCAUUCACAAGCCCAAACUAGUGUUCUUGUCCGAGACUCAGAAAAGCUUUGAGUUCUUGAAUAAUCUGAGACGGCUAGGUCUCCGUCAUUGUAUCGUGCAAGUUGGCUCUGAGAAGGGUUUCAGCAUGGCUUUCUUCUAUGAUGAAAGUGUCAAAACUAAUAAAAUCAUUGUUGGCCCGAGGAACAUAGAUGUGUUGAUCCGCUUGUGUCCUAAUGGUGUGCAAUGGAGGGGUACUUUCAUCUAUGGGGAACCGAGAGCUCGUGAGAGACAUCAUAUGUGGGAGCUCUUGAGAAGAAUUAGAUGCAAUGCAUCCGAACGAUGGCUCAUGAUAGGUGAUUUCAAUGAAACUAUGUGUCAAAGCGAGCACUUCUCGCAAGCUAGGAGAUCUGAAUCAAAUAUGGCAGAGUUUAGGAGGGUGCUAACAGAUUGCAACUUGCAUGAUCUGGGGUAUAAGGGCACGACUUGGACGUACGAUAAUAAGCAUAAGGGCCUAAACAAUGUGAGGGCAUGUUUGGAUAGAGCGGUGGCUUCUCUUGAGUGGAGCAGGGUGUUUGGAGAGGCAUCGGUCCAGCAUAUCUGCUCAUCCAGAUCUGAUCAUUCACCACUUUUGUUGCGCCUCGGCAAGAGACAGGAGUGGAGGCCAGUAAAGAAAACUUUCAGGUAUGAGGAAAUGUGGGACAGAAAUGACACCUUAUCGGUUGUGAUCAGUGGCGCUUGGAGAGAGCGGGACAUGGAAGCGAGCCUCAAAGGGGUAGCCAGCAAACUAAUGACUAUACAGGAUGUGCUGAGUCGAUGGGCCCAGAGAGAGUUUGAUUCGGUUCAGAAUAGCAUUCGAUCUCUUCGAGGGAGCCUUCAGAAAUUGUGCAUGCUUCCCCCAUCCCUAGGAACAUAUUCAAGAAUAAAGAAGAUUGCAACAGACCUCGAUGAAUGGCUACUACAGGAGGAGCAAAUGUGGAAGCAGAGAUAA